RNAcentral lists this long non-coding RNA (444 nucleotides) under Homo sapiens (human). RNAcentral describes it as "HSALNT0159804". Lineage: Eukaryota; Metazoa; Chordata; Mammalia; Primates; Hominidae. The record is from RNAcentral.
GCAGUUGUCAGAACAAUGCCUUGGCCUCAGAAAAAGAUGGAGACUCAGCUUCCCAGACCGGAGCUUGAACAUAAGGACUUAAUCCCAUGGUAUCAGUCCUCUCCUUUGGAGACAGCCAGGGCCAGAGUGAACUGAACGGCAAAACGGAGAAAGCUAAACCCAGAAAUCCCUAAAUAUCCUCUCGCCCGGAACAUGCUUGGGCCCAGAGCCUGCAGGUGCAGUAGAAGGAGAUUCGCUUUCCGGCUUUUGUCGGGGCACCACGGUUUCAACAAAGACAGCCUCUACCCAGGGGCCGACACUCACACAGCCUUCUCUUCCUGCAUAGCCAUUUGCAAGUCCAGUUUCCCACUAUGAUACACAGCUCUUGAGAUGAAGAAACGUGGCACACACAUGUCUGCUGACCUUCUCUGAGAUCGAGGAGGUGCUAGGAUUUGUUGGCUUGAA